Mytilus californianus (California mussel) is the source of this 1989-nucleotide long non-coding RNA. RefSeq lists it as uncharacterized. Lineage: Eukaryota; Metazoa; Mollusca; Bivalvia; Mytilida; Mytilidae. The record is from RefSeq and is a predicted model, not a curated record. The transcript has 2 exons.
UUGUUUAUCAGGAAAAGAUCUAUCUGCCCUGAAAUUUUCAGAUGAAUCGGACAACCCGUUGUUGGGUUGCUGCCCCUGAAUUGGUAAUUUUAAGGAAAUUUUGCAGUUUUUGGUUAUUAUCUUGAAUAUUAUUAUAGAUAGAGGUAAACUGUAAACAGCAAUAAUGUUCAGCAAAGUAAGAUCUACAAAUAAGUCACCUUGACCAAAAUGGUCAGUUGACCCCUUAAGGAGUUAUUGCCCUUUAUAGUCAAUUUUUAACCAUUUUUCGUAAAUUUUUGUAAUCUUUUACAAAAAUCUUCUCCUCUGAAACUACUAAGACAAAUUUAACCAAACUUGUCCACAAUCAUCAUUAGGGUAUCUAGUUUAAAAAAUGUGUCCAAUGACCCCGCCCGCGAACCAAGAUGGCCGACAUGGCUAAAAAAUAUUACAUAGGGUAAAAUGCAGUUUUUGGCUCAUAUCUCUGAAACCAAAGCAUUUAGAGCAAAUCUGAUGAGUAUAAAAUUGUUCAUUAGGUCAAGAUCUAUCUGCCCUGAAAUUUUCAGACCAAUCAGGCAACCCGUUGUUGGGUUGCUGCCCCUGAAUUGGUAAUUUUAAGGAAAUUUUGCCGUUUUUGGUUAUUAUCUUGAAUAUUAUUAUAGAUAGAGAUAAACUGUAAACAGCAAUAAUGUUCAGCAAAGUAAGAUCUACAAAUAAGGCAACAUGACCAAAAUUGUCAAUUGACCCCUUAAGGAGUUAUUGCCCUUUAUAGUCAAUUUUUUACAAUUUUCAUAAAUUUUGUAAAUUUUUGUAAAUUUUUAAAAGUAUUUUCCACUGUAACUACCGGGCCAAGUUAAUUAUAGAUAGAGAUAAUAGUAAGGAGCAAGAAUAUUCAGUAAAGUAAGAUCUACAAACACAUCACCAUCACCAAAACACAAUUUUGUCAUGAAUCCAUCUGUGUCCUUUGUUUAAUAUGCACAUAGACCAAGGUGAGCGACACAGGCUCUUUAGAGCCUCUAGUUUUUUUCUUUUAAAAUUUUCCAUUUUAAGUUGGUUAUUUCUGAUUUAUAUUUAAAAGCAAAUAAUAAUGAUAUGGUAGGAGAUACACACCAAACAGGAUGUGUAAAUUAUUAUAUAAUAAGUAUUGUGCAAUAGCAAGAAAUUUUCAAUUGCACAGUAUUGCACAAUAGCAAGAAAUCUUCAAUUGCACAGUAUUGCGCAAUAGCAAGAAAUCUUCAAUUGCACAGUAUUGCGCAAUAGCAAGAAAUAUCCAAUAGCACAAUAUUGUGCAAUAGCAAGAAAUUGUCAAUUGUACAGUAUUGCGCAAUAGCAAGAAAUAUUUAAUUGCACAGUAUUGUGCAAAAGAAGAUACUUCGUAUAAAUUGCUUAUUUCUUGACCAAUUUCAAAGGGGUUUUCUUCUUGAAUUCUUGGGGUUCUUUAAUAUGCUGAAUCUAACCGUGUAUUUAGUUUUUGGAUUUUGGGCCCCGUUUUUAAAUUGGUCCACAUUGAGGUCAAAAGGGUCCAAAAUUAAACUUUGUUUGAUUUCAUCAAAAAUUGAAUUAUUGGGGUUCUUUGAUAUGCCGAAUCUAACCGUGAAUUUAGAUUCUUAAUUUUUGGUUCCGUUUUCAAAUUGGUCUACAUUAAGGUCAAAAGGGUCCAAAAUUAAACUUUGUUUGAUUUCAUCAAAAAUUGAAUUCUUGGGGUUCUUUGAUAUGCUGAAUCUAACCAUGUAUUUAGAUUUUGGAUAUUAGACCAUAAUAGGUGAAUGUCCAAUUUAGAAUUUUUAAGUUCUUAGACCACAUUCAUUCUGUGUCAGAAACCUAUGCUGUGUCAAAUAUUUAAUCACAAUCCAAAUGCAAAGCUGUAUCAAGCUUGAAUGUUGUGUCCAUACUUGCCCCAACUGUUCAGGGUUCGACCUCUGCGUAUCAAGCUGCGCCCUGCGGAGCAUUUUAUUGAGAAAUAAAAUAUCAAAUUUUAUAACCAAACCGGUCAGUGUCAUCAGCCAAAGUAUU